This is a microRNA precursor of Cavia aperea (Brazilian guinea pig), 70 nucleotides long. Ensembl annotates it as microRNA 383. NCBI's taxonomy places the organism in Eukaryota, Metazoa, Chordata, Mammalia, Rodentia, Caviidae. The record is from Ensembl.
CUCAGAUCAGAAGGUGAUUGUGGCUUUGGGUAGAUAUUAAUCAGCCACAGCACUGCCUGGUCAGAAAGAG